This 180-nucleotide ribosomal RNA is filed under the name uncultured Glomeromycotina. RNAcentral's name for it is "partial small subunit ribosomal RNA". The stretch from base 90 to 180 matches the Rfam family "Eukaryotic small subunit ribosomal RNA", at positions 738 to 831 of the family's 1831-position model. Lineage: Eukaryota; Fungi; Glomeromycota. The record is from RNAcentral.
GGCCUGGCUGGCCGGUCCGCCUCACCGCGUGCACUGGUCCGGCCGGGCCUUUCGCACUGGGGAACCGCAUGCCCUUCACUGGGCGUGCGGGGAACCAGGACUUUUACUUUGAAAAAAUUAGAGUGCUCAAAGCAGGCCUAUGCUUGAAUACAUUAGCAUGGAAUAAUGGAAUAGGACGCG